UGCCCGCCCGGGCACUACGAGCAUAAGCUUAAAACCCAAAGGACUUGGCGGUGCUUGAAAUCCACCUAGAGGAGCCUGUUCUGAAACUGAUAACCCCCGUUAAACCUCACCCUCUUUUGUUUUUUCCGUCUAUAUACCGCCGUCGUCAGCUUACCCUGUGAAGGCACAUUAGUAAGCAAAACUAGCACAGCUCAAAACGUCAGGUCGAGGUGUAGCAUAUAAGAGGGGAAGAAAUGGGCUACAUUCCCUACCCUAGGGAAAACGAAAAAUGCCCUGAAACGUGCAUUGGAAGGAGGAUUUAGUAGUAAGCAAAGAAUAGAGUGCUUUGCUGAAUAUGGCCCUAAAGCGCGCACACACC
Molecule: ribosomal RNA, 358 nt
Filed under: Perciformes sp. GB-2010a
Lineage: Eukaryota; Metazoa; Chordata; Actinopteri; Perciformes
Description: partial 12S ribosomal RNA
Rfam family: Bacterial small subunit ribosomal RNA
Source: RNAcentral